Molecule: ribosomal RNA, 91 nt
Filed under: Listeria monocytogenes
Lineage: Bacteria; Bacillati; Bacillota; Bacilli; Caryophanales; Listeriaceae
Description: partial 23S ribosomal RNA
Rfam family: Bacterial large subunit ribosomal RNA
Source: RNAcentral
CCUGAAAGAUGAUCAGGUAGAUAGGUUUGGAGUGGAAGUGUAGCGAUACAUGGAGCGGACAAAUACUAAUCGAUCGAGGACUUAACCAAAA